This is a non-coding RNA of Phascolarctos cinereus (koala), 1427 nucleotides long. Lineage: Eukaryota; Metazoa; Chordata; Mammalia; Diprotodontia; Phascolarctidae. The record is from RefSeq and is a predicted model, not a curated record.
CUUAAAUACACUGGAGAUUCUUCCAGGCACUGCCUAAUUUUCACAGAUCACCACCUUUCCAACCCUUACCUAUGACCACCCCAAACUCCUUUCUACAAGGUGCCUCACAAGAAACCUGUAAAGCAGUUAAUGCAAAUAUUAUUAUUCCCAAUUUACAGAGGAGUAAACAGAGACUCUUCAAGGCUAAGUGAGUCGCCCAGUGUCAAACAGCUCCUGAGCGUCUGAAGAGGGAUUUGAACUCGAAUUUCCCAACUCCAGCUCCAGUGCUCUCAUCUGGCAUAGCAGAUACAGCGAUCAUUUUGGCAUCAAGAAGACCGUUAUUCCAGUCCCACCUUGGACACUUUCCUAGCCAUAUGACCCUCAGCCCCAUUCUAAAUGGGUUGAUGAGUUGCGGUACGCCAAACUAAUUGCCCCUCACUAGCCUCUGUGCUAGGUUGAUCCUCAAAGGCCACACAGUCCAUCCGGAGGAUCCACCUGCUAAGCCUUUCCAAUCAACUUCUGAGAACCCAGGAUCACCUCCAGGCCAUGAUGAGGCAUCCAAGAAAGUGAGCUGAAUUUGAGUAAGCGGAUCCAGAGAAGAAAUCAGAUUUGAUGGGAUAAACUGCCAGUGGGGCUUUGAUAAAUCAGAAAGGUAUCAGAAUAAGGAAGAAGUGCAUCUGCUGAUGGUGGUCAUCCUGCAGGCUCAGGCCCUCUAAUGGACCCUCUCCCAGACUCUCUGGGAUGCUGCUUACUCUAGGAGCGCCUCCUCCUUCCCACCCCUGGAGGCCCCCGCUCCAGACCGGAGAUUCAGGGUCACUGAAGCUGGGGAAGGGGAAAACCAACUGGACAUUUUCCCAUUUAGCAUCACUGCUGCAUCUUAUGGCUUUUUCUGUCUUCCUCCUUCUUGGUCUCUGGGCAGGAUGUGACACCGUUGAUUACCCUUGCCCUGACUGCAGCCUCUGUCUUUUUCUUUCUGACAACACUUUCCGUCAGGCCCCUCCUCCUCAGUCUCUUUUGCCACCUGUGAUUUGGCCCCUGACCAUGGGGAUUCCCAAGGCCCUAUCACAGGCCCUCAUCUUUUCUCUCUCUACAGCCUUUCUUUUGAUGACAUCAUCAGUUCCCAUGAGUUCAAUCACCAUAUGUACAGAUAACUUUCAGAUCAAUAUAUGUAUUCUUAGUCUCCUGAGCUCUCAUCCCAGGUCAUCAACUGUCUAUUGGAUAUUUCCAAGUGGAUAUCCUAUAGAAAUUUCAAAUUCAGCCUGUUCAAAACAAGAAUUGAUUAUUCUUUCCCCAAACCCAGCUUCUCAAUUUCCCUAUUCCUACUGAAAUCUCUACCAUCCUUCCAGUCAUCCAGGGUCACAACCUUGGGUCACUCUUGACUCUCUCUCUCUCUCUCUGCCUGUGUCUUUCCUUCUCUCUGUCUCUGUCUCUUCUCCCACAUCCAUUGU